AACGAGGCCGACCUGCGGCUGAGUUACCUGCGGAAGGAUCAUUACCGAGUUUACAACUCCCAAACCCCUGUGAACAUACCUAUACGUUGCCUCGGCGGAUCAGCCCGCGCCCUGUAAAAAGGGACGGCCCGCCCGAGGACCCUAAACUCUGUUUUUAGUGGAACUUCUGAGUAAAACAAACAAAUAAAUCAAAACUUUCAGCAAUGGAUCU
RNAcentral lists this unclassified non-coding RNA (211 nucleotides) under soil metagenome. RNAcentral describes it as "partial contains 5.8S ribosomal RNA, internal transcribed spacer 2, and large subunit ribosomal RNA". The record is from RNAcentral.